RNAcentral lists this ribosomal RNA (401 nucleotides) under uncultured fungus. RNAcentral describes it as "partial small subunit ribosomal RNA". It matches the Rfam family "Eukaryotic small subunit ribosomal RNA", at positions 30 to 432 of the family's 1831-position model. The record is from RNAcentral. Lineage: Eukaryota; Fungi.
GCUUGUCUCAAAGAUUAAGCCAUGCAUAUCUAAGAAUAACUAACAUUAUCUUGAAUCUGUGAAUGGCUCAUUAUAUCAGUUAUAGUUUACAUGAUAGUCAAUACUACUUGGAUAACCGUAGUAAUUCUAGAGCUAAUACAUGCAUAAAGACCCGACUUCUGGAAGGGUUGUAUUUAUUAGAAUAAAACCAAACGGCUUCGGCCGUCUCAUUGGUGACUCUGAAUAACUUUGGGCUGAUCGUAUGGCCUUGUGCCGACGACGUUUCCUUCGAAGGUGUGCCCUAUCAACUGUCGACUGUGAUAUAGACGCUCACAGUGGUUUUGACGGGUAACGGGGAAUCAGGGUUCGAUUCCGGAGAGGGAGCCUUAAAAACGGCUACCACAUCCAAGGAAGGCAGCAGG